Molecule: ribosomal RNA, 232 nt
Filed under: uncultured Actinomycetales bacterium
Lineage: Bacteria; Bacillati; Actinomycetota; Actinomycetes; Actinomycetales
Description: partial 16S ribosomal RNA
Rfam family: Bacterial small subunit ribosomal RNA
Source: RNAcentral
CGAACGGGUGAGUAACACGUGGGUGAUCUGCCCUGCACUCUGGGAUAAGCCUGGGAAACUGGGUCUAAUACUGGAUAUGACCUUUCUCCUUAUGGGGUUUGGUGGAAAGUUUUCGGUGUAGGAUGAGCCCGCGGCCUAUCAGCUUGUUGGUGGGGUGAUGGCCUACCAAGGCGACGACGGGUAGCCGGCCUGAGAGGGUGAUCGGCCACAUUGGGACUGAGAUGCGGCCCAG